RNAcentral lists this ribosomal RNA (486 nucleotides) under uncultured bacterium. Its description in RNAcentral is "bacterial SSU rRNA". It matches the Rfam family "Bacterial small subunit ribosomal RNA", at positions 9 to 478 of the family's 1533-position model. The record is from RNAcentral.
GAGUUUGAUCAUGGCUCAGGACGAACGCUGGCGGCGUGCCUAAUACAUGCAAGUAGAACGCUGAAGGAGGAGCUUGCUUCUCUGGAUGAGUUGCGAACGGGUGAGUAACGCGUAGGUAACCUGCCUGGUAGCGGGGGAUAACUAUUGGAAACGAUAGCUAAUACCGCAUAAUAGUAGAUGUUGCAUGACAUUUGCUUAAAAGGUGCAAUUGCAUCACUACCAGAUGGACCUGCGUUGUAUUAGCUAGUUGGUGAGGUAACGGCUCACCAAGGCGACGAUACAUAGCCGACUGAGAGGGUGAUCGGCCACACUGGGACUGAGACACGGCCCAGACUCCUACGGGAGGCAGCAGUAGGGAAUCUUCGGCAAUGGACGGAAGUCUGACCGAGCAACGCCGCGUGAGUGAAGAAGGUUUUCGGAGUCGUAAAGCUCUGUUGUAAGAGAAGAACGAGUGUGAGAGUGGAAAAGUUCACACUGUGACGGUAU